CUUGAUCGACCCGAGCAACAGCGGCGUCUCGCGGUCCUGACCGUAGGCGGACAGCAGCGCCUGCGCCUC
The sequence is an antisense RNA, 69 nucleotides long. It matches the Rfam family "ASpks TB sRNA".